CAUCAGCUAAUAUUCAAUGCACAAAUAGGAGGGUGGAAUUCAGUUUAGUAACCCUGCAAUCACAACGAACCCCGACCGACUUCGGUGUCUUGUAGUAGCAGACACAAGAUUCCUCCCACUCUUUGCUUUCCAUUACCUAAUUAACAAUAAUACUAAUAAUAAUUAUAAUAACAAUGUACUGCAGAGGCAGCAGGCAGUCCAAUAAGGUGGUUUUCAUAAUCUUCCUUUAUCUUCUGUCAAGUUUCCCUUUCAUUGCAUCAUCAACUCCUCCUCACAGCCAAAUAAAGGGCUGAUCUUUCUGCCUUGUCUCAUUCUCUGCAACUUUUGCUUUUCUAGUACCCUGUUUUUCACAUUUUCCAAGCCCAAGUUCAGUUGCUUUAAUUCAUUACAUCAUUUACAGAUAAUCAACAUUCAACAACUCCUGCUCUCUUACCCUCCUCUGCUCUAAUCCUUUUUCGUUUCUUAUGGAUUUGGUCACCUGAACAACUACAACUGCAGUUGGUCACUAUCUCUCUCUCUCUCUCCCUAUAGCCACCCGCACUUCCUGCUGUAUGUAAAGGGUAAUUCUAGCUAGCGAGUUUCAUUAGUCCGAGAAACCAUGAGUCUCGAUGGCAUCAAUCUUCGUUGCUUUACCUUUGUUCUUGGUAUUGUUCUUGUUCUAGUUCCUGCAUUUGCUCUCAACACGGAUGGGGUACUUUUGCUUUCCUUCAAAUACUCUGUCCUCAGUGACCCAUUAUCAGUCUUGGAAAGCUGGAACUAUGAUGAUGUAACCCCAUGCUCAUGGAAGGGAGUGACCUGCACAGAAUUAGGCCUACCAGGCACACCAGACAUGUUUAGGGUCACUAGCUUGGUCCUCCCUCGUAGCCAGCUUCUGGGUUCAAUUCCUCCGGACCUGGGCUUCAUUCAACAUCUUAGGCAUCUUGAUCUUUCCAGUAACUUCUUGAAUGGAUCAUUGCCUAGUUCAUUUUUUAAUUCCACUGAACUGGAAGUGAUUUCUCUUUCUGGCAAUGAGAUCUCUGGUGACUUGCCUGAGUCUAUUGGUGGAAUGAGGAGUUUACAGUUCUUGAAUCUUUCUGAUAAUGCCCUGGAUGGGAAACUACCUAAGAAUUUGACCAGUCUGAAAAAUCUUACAGUUCUUUCUUUAAGAACUAAUUACUUUUCCGGUUACGUUCCCAGUGGGUUCAAUUCUGUUGAAGUGUUAGAUCUGUCUUCUAAUCUGCUAAAUGGGUCAUUACCUCUUGAUUUUGGUGGAGGUAAUUUGCAUUACUUGAAUCUCUCUUACAACAAGCUUUCAGGGCUAAUUUCACUGGAAUUUGCAAAGAAAAUUCCUCAGAAUGCCACCAUUGAUCUCUCAUUCAACAACCUGACUGGAGCAAUCCCAGAGUCUGUAUCUUUGCUUAAUCAAAAAACAGAAUCUUUCAAAGGAAAUGUGGAUCUUUGUGGCAAACCAUUGAAGAAUCUUUGCUCAAUUCCUUCAACUCUCUCCACUCCACCAAAUAUUUCAACCAUUUCACCAGCCAUUGCUGUCAUACCCAAACCAUUAGACUCAACCCCAGUAGCAAACCCGUCCGCAGGAACCCAAAAUGCCACUACAAAAAAUCAACCCCAGAACGGUCUAAAACCAACCACUAUUGUGGCUAUCGCGGUGGCAGAUUUAGCCGGCAUAACCAUUCUUGCUAUAGCCAUUCUUUAUGUAUACCAACUGAAGAAGAAGAACACUCUCAACCAAAACGACCACCCCCAACCAAAGAACAACCAGAAACUCCCAACAGAAACCAUACUAUCAAAACUAGAUCAGCCAGUGGAAACAAGAAAACCCACAACGUGUUCAUGUUUAACCAUUAAAGCAGAAGAAACAUCAGAAGAAGCUACAACUUCAGAUAGCGACCAAGACGGCGGCCAUCAGAAUGAAGUUAUCAACGUGAGCCAGCACCAGCAGAAAGGAGGAAAGCUUGUGAUAGUGGACGGGGAGACGGAACUGGAAAUGGAAACACUGCUAAAAGCACCAGCAUACAUGUUAGGAGCUAGCGGAGCAAGCAUAGUGUACAAGGCCGUGCUCGAAGAUGGUACUGCGUUCGCAGUAAGGAGGAUAGGAGAAAGUGGUGUGGAGAGGCUCAGAGACUUUGAGAACCAAGUGAGGCUCAUUGCCAAACUACGGCACCCCAAUUUGGUUAGGGUUCUUGGGUUUUACUGGGGAGACGAUGAGAAGCUUGUUAUCUAUGACUAUGUCUCCAAUGGCAGCCUUGCAAGCUCCAGUUACAGAAAACCAGGUUCAUCACCAUUCCAUCUACCUCUUGAAGUUCGAUUCAAGAUAGCAAGAGGUGUAGCUCGAGGACUAGCCUUCAUUCAUGACAAGAAAAAUGUGCAUGGCAACAUCAAACCAACCAACAUCCUCUUAAACUCCGAAAUGGAUCCCAUAAUCUCUGAUUUCGGGAUAGAUCGGCUAGUCUCUGGCUCUAGCAGCAGCAACAGCAAUAGCUAUAAAUCUAGCAACUC
This 2496-nucleotide unclassified non-coding RNA is filed under the name Hevea brasiliensis (rubber tree). Lineage: Eukaryota; Viridiplantae; Streptophyta; Magnoliopsida; Malpighiales; Euphorbiaceae. The record is from RNAcentral.